This 486-nucleotide ribosomal RNA is filed under the name uncultured bacterium. Its description in RNAcentral is "partial 16S ribosomal RNA". It matches the Rfam family "Bacterial small subunit ribosomal RNA", at positions 46 to 523 of the family's 1533-position model. The record is from RNAcentral.
GCCUAACACAUGCAAGUCGAGCGGCAACAUGGGGAGUAGCAAUACUUUCUGAUGGCGAGCGGCGGACGGGUGAGGAAGACGUAGGAACCUGCCCUUUAGAGAGGGAUAACCAAUGGAAACGUUGGCUAAUACCGAAUGCACUCUGAGGAGGAAAGCUGCCCGAAAGGGUGGCGCUAGAGGAGGGGCCUGCGGCCGAUGAGCUAGUUGGUACGGUAAGAGCGUACCAAGGCGAAGAUCGGUAACUGGGCUGAGAGGACGGCCAGUCAAACGGGGAAUGAGACACGGCCCAGACUCCGACGGGAGGCAGCAGUGGGGAAUAUUGGACAAUGAGGGCAACCCUGAUCCAGCGAUGCCGCGUGGGUGAAGAAGGCCUUCGGGUUGUAAAGCCCUUUAGGUUGGGAAGAAAGGUGUGGGGUGAUAAGCCCCAUGCUGUGGCGGUACCGACAGAAUAAGCACCGGCAAACUCUGUGCCAGCCGCCGCCGUAA